UUGACCUCGGAUCAGGUAGGGAUACCCGCUGAACUUAAGCAUAUCAAUAAGCGGAGGAAAAGAAACCAACAGGGAUUGCCUCAGUAACGGCGAGUGAAGCGGCAACAGCUCAAAUUUGAAAUCUGACCCCCUCGGGGCCCGAGUUGUAAUUUGUAGAGGGUGUUUCGGGCGCGCGCCGGUCUAAGUUCCUUGGAACAGGACGUCACAGAGGGUGAGAAUCCCGUACGUGACC
This 232-nucleotide ribosomal RNA is filed under the name Pseudocyphellaria neglecta. RNAcentral describes it as "partial 26S ribosomal RNA". It matches the Rfam family "Eukaryotic large subunit ribosomal RNA", at positions 1 to 230 of the family's 3401-position model. The record is from RNAcentral. Lineage: Eukaryota; Fungi; Ascomycota; Lecanoromycetes; Peltigerales; Lobariaceae.